UCGUCAGUCCUACGGCUUAUAUGGCCAGCC
Molecule: small RNA, 30 nt
Filed under: Bombyx mori (domestic silkworm)
Lineage: Eukaryota; Metazoa; Arthropoda; Insecta; Lepidoptera; Bombycidae
Description: ovarian small RNA-29216
Source: RNAcentral